UACGAAGGGGGCUAGCGUUGCUCGGAAUCACUGGGCGUAAAGCGCACGUAGGCGGACUCUUAAGUCGGUGGUGAAAUCCUGGAGCUCAACUCCAGAACUGCCUUCGAUACUGAGAGUCUCGAGUCCGAGAGAGGUGAGUGGAGCUGCGAGUGUAGAGGUGAAAUUCGUAGAUAUUCGCAAGAACACCAGUGGCGAAGGCGGCUCACUGGCUCGGUACUGACGCUGAGGUGCGAAAGCGUGGGGAGCAAACAGG
RNAcentral lists this ribosomal RNA (253 nucleotides) under uncultured bacterium. RNAcentral describes it as "partial 16S ribosomal RNA". It matches the Rfam family "Bacterial small subunit ribosomal RNA", at positions 524 to 776 of the family's 1533-position model. The record is from RNAcentral.